AGAAACUUAGGAUAAUAAAUCCGCAGGCCUUCAAAGCCUGAAACAAGAGUUAAAACCUCUUAAUUUCUG
RNAcentral lists this transfer RNA (69 nucleotides) under Pristimantis pardalis (leopard robber frog). Its description in RNAcentral is "tRNA-Trp". It matches the Rfam family "tRNA". Rfam says of the family: Transfer RNA (tRNA) molecules are approximately 80 nucleotides in length. Their secondary structure includes four short double-helical elements and three loops (D, anti-codon, and T loops). Further hydrogen bonds mediate the characteristic L-shaped molecular structure. tRNAs have two regions of fundamental functional importance: the anti-codon, which is responsible for specific mRNA codon recognition, and the 3' end, to which the tRNAs corresponding amino acid is attached (by aminoacyl-tRNA synthetases). tRNAs cope with the degeneracy of the genetic code in two manners: having more than one tRNA (with a specific anti-codon) for a particular amino acid; and 'wobble' base-pairing, i.e. permitting non-standard base-pairing at the 3rd anti-codon position. Lineage: Eukaryota; Metazoa; Chordata; Amphibia; Anura; Strabomantidae. The record is from RNAcentral.